GGAUCAGUGGCGAACGGGUGAGUAACACGUGAGCAACCUGCCCCUGACUCUGGGAUAAGCGCUGGAAACGGCGUCUAAUACUGGAUAUGUGACGUGACCGCAUGGUCUGCGUUUGGAAAGAUUUUUCGGUUGGGGAUGGGCUCGCGGCCUAUCAGCUUGUUGGUGAGGUAAUGGCUCACCAAGGCGUCGACGGGUAGCCGGCCUGAGAGGGUGACCGGCCACACUGGGACUGAGACACGGCCCAGACUCCUACGGGAGGCAGCAGUGGGGAAUAUUGCACAAUGGGCGAAAGCCUGAUGCAGCAACGCCGCGUGAGGGAUGACGGCCUUCGGGUUGUAAACCUCUUUUAGCAGGGAAGAAGCGAAAGUGACGGUACCUGCAGAAAAAGCGCCGGCUAACUACGUGCCAGCAGCCGCGGUAAUACGUAGGGCGCAAGCGUUAUCCGGAAUUAUUGGGCGUAAAGAGCUCGUAGGCGGUUUGUCGCGUCUGCUGUGAAAUCCCGAGGCUCAACCUCGGGCCUGCAGUGGGUACGGGCAGACUAGAGUGCGGUAGGGGAGAUUGGAAUUCCUGGUGUAGCGGUGGAAUGCGCAGAUAUCAGGAGGAACACCGAUGGCGAAGGCAGAUCUCUGGGCCGUAACUGACGCUGAGGAGCGAAAGGGUGGGGAGCAAACAGGCUUAGAUACCCUGGUAGUCCACCCCGUAAACGUUGGGAACUAGUUGUGGGGUCCAUUCCACGGAUUCCGUGACGCAGCUAACGCAUUAAGUUCCCCGCCUGGGGAGUACGGCCGCAAGGCUAAAACUCAAAGGAAUUGACGGGGACCCGCACAAGCGGCGGAGCAUGCCGAUUAAUUCGAUGCAACGCGAAGAACCUUACCAAGGCUUGACAUAUACGAGAACCGGGCCAGAAAUGGGUCAACUCUUUUGGACACUCGUAAAACAGGUGGUUGCAUGGUUUGUCGUCAGCU
This 965-nucleotide ribosomal RNA is filed under the name Microbacterium sp. RNAcentral's name for it is "bacterial SSU rRNA". It matches the Rfam family "Bacterial small subunit ribosomal RNA", at positions 89 to 1060 of the family's 1533-position model. The record is from RNAcentral. Lineage: Bacteria; Bacillati; Actinomycetota; Actinomycetes; Micrococcales; Microbacteriaceae.